Long non-coding RNA from Salmo salar (Atlantic salmon), 2043 nucleotides. RefSeq lists it as uncharacterized. The record is from RefSeq and is a predicted model, not a curated record. Lineage: Eukaryota; Metazoa; Chordata; Actinopteri; Salmoniformes; Salmonidae.
UUCUGACAGACGUGUACUAUGGUGCAUUGAGUUGGUUGGAACCUCUCCAGCGCGCUGACAAUAAACAAUGAUUCAUUUAAGAUUGACUUCGAGUGUCCCUGUGUAAGAAUAUUUCCACAACAUUUGGCGUCACGAACCGAAUUAUUGAUUCUGCCUGCGGAGCUUUCCAGUUGAGGUCUGCGAGGAAAACCGGUGGAGCAUUUUAUGAAGCAUGAGGGAAAUUCAUGUCCGACCAAUAGAGGAUGAGGACCUGUCCAGAUCCUUACUGUGAGCUGCCCAGGAGGAGACACAUCAUCCAUGAACAAUUGAGGGACGGCAACUGAUUUCAGAUUCUGUAUAUCUCCCUUUGAAGGGGCUUCCUGAGGCAGGUGCCUUGGGAGAGCAGUAAAAAGUGCCGGAUCCAGCUGUUAAGGGACCUCAAAAAUUAAGCAGUGUUGUUGUUUUUUUGGACGUGUGUCCAAAGGGGGAAUUACCAGUCCCCUGGGGCCCUUUGAUUGGGUUUGCUGGAUGGUCGGGAUUUCUCCCUGAGGAUUAGCCCUCUAACUCCCUGACCUGUAACUCUGCAGUGAGAUCGCCAAGAUGAUAGGGGAGUAUAAGCCAAUUUGGGAGGGAAAUGGUUUCAACUGUGUGUUGUUAUUCUCUAAGACAUUUGUCUUAGAAGUCUGGAUUUCCUGAGUUACAAAUGCCCUAAACCAAACUGUUGUUCUGGUCUGUACUCUAUCGAGGUAAUGGCGGAGAUGGUGUCUAGAUGCAUGGAAGAUAAUUCGGCCGAUGAACAGUGUGAUCCUCAACACCCCCUCUAACCGGCUGAAAUUGGUGAAAAUGGCGUUCAGUAUGGUCCUUCACCACUUCUACCGUGAGACCUGAGUCCAAGCCAGCAACCUGUACACAUCAGUCGACGCUAUCAACUGCCUUUUCUCUCAUGUUUUUUCUCUCAGGAGCGACAUGGGGUGAUGUGGGGUGAGCAUGGAGAGAGAUCCAGUCCAAACUUCUCUCAUGCUGCUGGUGUACUGGUAGGAUAAUGGACAAAGGCCUAAUGGACUGUAAAGGACAGUGGCGGCUCAGGUGAGAGACAUUAUCAAGGGCCAUCCACUUUGAACAUGUGCCAUUAAAAGGACAAACUGAAACACUAUCUGAAGAAGAACAUGAAGAAACGGCAGGAAAGGAAGAAUGAGUGCCCGUAAUUGAUUUAGGCUUGUCGAAAAUUGUUUAUUUGGGGUAUUGGGUUGAUUGUGGAGGUUUGCACACUGCAAAAUGUUGUAAUUUAGACUAACAAUGCAUUGAAAUACCAAUCUGUCAUUACCACAAGUGAUGAGAAAAGUGAGGGUCUUAAAUUAAAGUGACAGAUCCAACGUGAAGCACUAAAUUUGGGUUGGAUAAUGUAUCAAUAAUUUUGAUUAUGAUUUGGAAAGGCAAAACUUCUAGAGACAGAGCUGUGCCCUAAAAAUGAGGAGAGACACUAGAUUGUUACAAGGUUAGCCCAAGCUACAAUCUCAUUCUUAGCAAGGUUGGUGUGAAACUGUUAUAACGUGAUCUCUCUCUCUUCCCUGUGAAAUGUUAUUAACAUACUGUAAGGCGAUGUGCCUCUCUGGCUGAUAAGAUUUCAGCAGCUAUCUUGCUUUCUACUCCUCCAGAGGAUGGUGAAGAGGAUGGUGAAACAGUUAGAUGCCAACUCUGGAUGAGCCCCCAUUUCCUCCGGGUUAUUUUCCUUUUAGCAAGUUGAGAGUAAGGUCAUCUAAACCCUUAACCUGUUUACAUUAUGUUGAACACUGAGCUGAUGAGCAAGUUAAACAACUGGGUUUUAUGUUUUGACUAGGUGGAUGUCCCAGGGACAGUUAGUGAAAACAUAGGUCAAUGCAACCCAAGUGUGGAAAGAAAUAUGGAAACAAUGGUUAACAUCAAGAUAUUUAUUCACCUCUGAAUCUACAGAUCCGUUGUGUAUUUUUGAUACUCACUCCCAUUAAUAAAGUAUAACCUUUAUUAUGAUUAUAGUAAUACCAUACUAAGUGGAUUGUACAACCCAGAAUAAAGGGUUUGAAAUGA